This 433-nucleotide ribosomal RNA is filed under the name uncultured bacterium. RNAcentral's name for it is "partial 16S ribosomal RNA". It matches the Rfam family "Bacterial small subunit ribosomal RNA", at positions 29 to 507 of the family's 1533-position model. The record is from RNAcentral.
AACGAACGCUGGCGGCAUGCCUAACACAUGCAAGUCGAACGAGACCUUCGGGUCUAGUGGCGCACGGGUGCGUAACGCGUGGGAACCUUCCCUUAUGUUCGGAAUAACUCCCCGAAAUGGGUGCUAAUACCGGAUAAUGUCUUCGGACCAAAGAUUUAUCGCCUUUGGAUGGGCCCGCGUUGUAUUAGCUAGUUGGUAUGGUAAAAGCCUACCAAGGCUACGAUCCAUAGCUGGUCUGAGAGGAUGAUCAGCCACACUGGGACUGAGACACGGCCCAGACUCUUACGGGAGGCAGCAGUGGGGAAUAUUGGAAAAUGGGCGAAAGCAUGAUCGAGCAAUGCCGGGUGAGUGAUGAAGGCCUUAGGGUUGUAAAGCUCUUUUACCCGGGAUGAUAAUGACAGUACCGGGAGAAUAAGCUCCGGCUAACUCCGUG